AGGGCUGGCCGGGCGACCGCGUUGUCGUCUUCGGACGGCACCGAGGAAGGUCCGGGCUCCACAGGGCAAGGUGGUGGGUAACACCCACCCGGGGCAACCCGCGGGACAGUGCCACAGAGAACAGACCGCCUGCACCGAGCUUCGGCGAGGCGCAGGUAAGGGUGAAACGGUGGAGUAAGAGACCACCAGCGACCGGGGUGACCCGGCCGGCUCGGCAAACCCCACCUGGAGCAAGAUCAAGAAGUCCCGUGCUUGCACGGGACGCGCGUGCGUUCGAGGGCGGCCCGCCCGAGUACGCGGGUAGAUCGCUGGAGGGUGUCGGCAACGGCACUCGUAGAUGGAUGGUCGCCCCCCGGCUCGCCGGGGACAGAACCCGGCCUACAGGCCAGCCCUUCCG
Molecule: RNase P RNA, 397 nt
Filed under: Nocardioides sp. PD653
Lineage: Bacteria; Bacillati; Actinomycetota; Actinomycetes; Propionibacteriales; Nocardioidaceae
Description: Bacterial RNase P class A
Rfam family: Bacterial RNase P class A
About the family: Ribonuclease P (RNase P) is a ubiquitous endoribonuclease, found in archaea, bacteria and eukarya as well as chloroplasts and mitochondria. Its best characterised activity is the generation of mature 5'-ends of tRNAs by cleaving the 5'-leader elements of precursor-tRNAs.
Source: Rfam by way of RNAcentral